ACUCAACACUAACAAUUUAGAAUGAGCGAAUCAUCACUACUAAAGCAUGCCACGCUUUUUUGCGAGGAAACUUGAACAGUGAGUUAGCUCAAAACUUGUCUUUACGAGUUU
RNAcentral lists this small RNA (111 nucleotides) under Flavobacterium cupreum. RNAcentral describes it as "6S RNA". It matches the Rfam family "6S-Flavo RNA". The record is from RNAcentral. Lineage: Bacteria; Pseudomonadati; Bacteroidota; Flavobacteriia; Flavobacteriales; Flavobacteriaceae.